RNAcentral lists this ribosomal RNA (755 nucleotides) under Entomobryidae sp. R13. Its description in RNAcentral is "SSU rRNA". It matches the Rfam family "Eukaryotic small subunit ribosomal RNA", at positions 1031 to 1807 of the family's 1831-position model. The record is from RNAcentral. Lineage: Eukaryota; Metazoa; Arthropoda; Collembola; Entomobryomorpha; Entomobryidae.
UAACGAUGUCGACUGGCGAUCCGUCUCCGUUAACUGAAUGACUAGACGGGCAGCCUCCGGGAAACCAAAGUGUUUGGAUUCUGGGGGAAGUAUGGUUGCAAAGCUGAAACUUAAAGGAAUUGACGGAAGGGCACCACCAGGAGUGGAGCCUGCGGCUUAAUUUGACUCAACACGGGAAAACUCACCAGGCCCGGACACCGGAAGGAUUGACAGAUUGAGAGCUCUUUCUUGAUUCGGUGGGUGGUGGUGCAUGGCCGUUCUUAGUUGGUGGAGCGAUUUGUCUGGUUAAUUCCGAUAACGAACGAGACUCUGGCCUACUAACUAGACGUUGGAUCCCUUGUGGGUCCUUCGCAGCUUCUUAGAGGGACGGGCGGCGUUUAGCCGCACGAGAUAGAGCAAUAACAGGUCUGUGAUGCCCUUAGAUGUUCUGGGCUGCACGCGCGCUACACUGAAGGUAUCAGCAUGUGUUCCCUGUCCGAAAGGAUCGGGAAACCCUCUGAACCACCUUCGUGAUGGGGAUUGGGGAUUGCAAUUAUUCCCCAUGAACGAGGAAUUCCUAGUAGGCGUGAGUCAUCAGCUUGCGUCGAUUACGUCCCUGCCCUUUGUACACACCGCCCGUCGCUACUACCGAUCGAGUGAUUUAGUGAGGCCUUUGGACUGGUCUUCGUUAUGGCUUUCGGGUCGUGCCGGAGUACCGGGAAGAUGACCAAACUUGAUUACUUAGAGGAAGUAAAAGUCGUAACAAGGUUUCCGUA